AUGAUAUCUGUACGGUGGCUGCCUUUCAUGGGGGUGAGUUCUGAGAGGAGACAUGCCAAUGUACAAAUGUUUAUCAAGCUUUUGUUUGUAUUACAGGCAGUUUUGAACAUCUGGAGGCCUGAUUUAUUGGAGAUUGCAAAUGUACGGUGUAACAUAGCUGUGGAGAGCGAGAAGAUCAGGAUUGUCAAUGCUGUCAUUGCUUUUACUGGAAUCCCCAGCACGAAUUGAAGGAAUUCUACUAGUGCAUGUGGAGAGAAACAUGGCUGCUGCAUGGAGUCAUAAACCUCAGAGAAGCUGAGAAUGAGAUGAAAUGUAUAUGUAACCCUUGUGUAUGGCAAGUUUGGCAAGAAAUAAAAAGCAUACUUGGCAGAUUAAGAUAAGGUUUCUCUCUGUUUACUGAUAUAGUCUCAGGUUUGCAUUGUGUGAUGAAUAAUAGGUUGGGGGAAGAUAUCCUUUGUUUAUUCAUUCAUUUCAUCAACAAAUAUUUAAUGAGUACCUACUAUAUGCCAUGCCACAAAGAGUAUAAACCUAGAGACAGAAUGUUGAGUCACAUAGACAGUGCUCCUGAUACAAUUAUUUGAACUGAGUUAACAAUACUUCAAGGUUCCAUGUCUAAUUUACUGGCUAGGUUCUCAACAAAAUUUCUGGAUAAGUUAUUUGGCAAUAGAUGAACUUCAAAUGAAUCUCUUAUCUUCAUUAUCACAGAGAAUGAGUUGUCUGGAAUAUUGGAAAUUCACUGUGCUGUCCAAAUUUUCUAAAGCUAUACUUUGUGAAAUCCCCAAACAAUAUGGAUACAUACUUGUCUCGUUCUGCUCUUUGCACCUACAAUUGAUACACUAAGUGUGCUAUUUGCUACUUGUUUAAAGAUUUGUGCAUGUGUGGACUUUUUUGUGUAUUAACCACAAGUAAUGUUUUAAAUUGCUAUUGAGAAAUAAUGUGAG
Molecule: long non-coding RNA, 941 nt
Filed under: Pan paniscus (pygmy chimpanzee)
Lineage: Eukaryota; Metazoa; Chordata; Mammalia; Primates; Hominidae
Description: lncRNA (ENSPPAG00000045064.1)
Source: RNAcentral